Long non-coding RNA from Brassica napus (rape), 1261 nucleotides. RefSeq lists it as uncharacterized. Lineage: Eukaryota; Viridiplantae; Streptophyta; Magnoliopsida; Brassicales; Brassicaceae. The record is from RefSeq and is a predicted model, not a curated record. The transcript has 4 exons.
CCAACUCUCGAUUCUUAAUUAGAAAACCCUAAAUCGUUUUAAGUUAGCCCCGAGGAUGGUAAAUCAACAGUUCCAUUUAUUUGAGCUCAAGGCUGGUCGCUCAUGCCAAUAUAUGGAGCCGUUCUGCAGGCAGAGUGUUGUCAGGAGGCUUUUCGGGUUCUGGAAAACUCGAAAUGUGAAGAAAGGUGGGGAGUUGAUGGGCUUCAUCUGGUACUGCUAGAAAGAAAGUCCACCUUGAUUCAUCUCUGAAUCAGUGUACAUCGGCUCAAUACUUUUAGAAACAUAAGCAAUGCAGACUGUAUGAUCUAAGUGGGUUUGAUGUAACGAAGACCAACCAAAGCUUCCGCCUUUCAGACUCCCAUGUAUCAAUUCGUUUUACAGAGCAGACAAAAUUUCAUGAGUUGCCUGAGAACAGGGGCUUGAUCCCGAUGGAACUCUUCAGGUUCAGGGAUUUACGAUCAUUCAAUGUUGUUGGCUAACACAAACACUGACUUGCCAGGUUGUUCAUUAUUUUCCCCAUUCAUAUCUUUCAUGUAGUCUGUCUAAAUGUCCAUUUUAAUUGCCUGCAGAUAUUGUUGGUGACGUGUUUUGGAGGUAAACGUUUGUCUUAGUAUUUUUGUCAAUCGUGCUAUGCAACUCCUUGAUAAAUUGGUUAUCCACGGCGUGGAACCACGGGUUAUUGCAGCUACCAAUAUCAAUCCAAAAUUGGCUGGAGGACGUCCUUUCCUAAAUCCAGCCUCAGUAACCCUUUUCUAAUUUGCCGGUGAGUGUGAGGCCAUCACAAGUUGCAUCUAGGGGUAAACCUUUGUAAUGAAACCCAUCCUGCUUAUUAGCUUCCUCUGUCACACUGCUGGUUCUGUCAAUACCACUUGGAAUCACAGUAGAAGUGCAGGUUGAAGACCUCCAAUGAGAAAGGGGUAAAGAUAAUGGUCCGUGUCCGGCUGUAAGAGAUGACGCUCCUUUCGAGGAGUCCCCUGUUGAAGAUUGUGGACCUCUACAAAGAAACCACGUAAUAGUUGAACUCCAGAAGAUCGAAGUGAAAGUUGGAGUCUGGUUUCACAACUGCUUCUUUUAUCUUUAAUUCCCAGCGUUUAAUAAGUUGUCAUUGAACUAUAUUGCAAUGUUUUCUGUUCUUUUGUUUUCUUUUUAAAUCAGCCUUACUAAUUUCUCAACUGCAAUGCAGUAUUUUAAACCCCUAUUGAAUUGUUAUAAUGUUAUGAAUAUUAGUGCCAAUUAUUUCAUAUAAUGUUUCAAUUAAGCA